UUUCAGGCAAAAUGAUUAAUAGAUUAAUAAUUCAAAAUCCUUCCAGACCAUGACAGUCGUUGGUCACUUUUUGACUCCAUUUGCAAAUGUGAAGUGCAUCUUGUUGGUGUUGCUCGCACCUAGGACCACAGCAAUUGCAUUAAAACUUAGGGGUGAAAACAAAGAAAGAAAGAACAGCUCGCUUACCAGAUUGAUUUCAGCCAGUUCCAGGGAAUUUUUCUUGCGGGGAAGAAGAGAAACUGUACACACGCGGCCGUCACUGUCGCUUGAGUUUGUACUUCUCAAUCAUUUGCCACUCACCUUGUCACUUUGCUGAGGAAAACAAUAUUCGCGAAUCAGCCAUGCAGAUUAUAUUACUAAAAUCCCUGAAAAGCGCGGAAGAACCCUAAGGCGAUGCGCUUUCUCGAUACUGUGGAGCUCAAGAAGCAUGUGGCGGCUCUCGAGUUCCAUACUGAUGUAAUCCGAAAACUGCUGCGCCAAGAACUUCCUGACUUGGAGGCACUUGUUUCUUUUUCCGCCGAAUGUUGAUUGAAUCAAGGUGAAUUUUCCCCAGCUUUCUCUGUGGGCUUGAAGACUUGGGGAUCGAGCGGAAGAAGCUG
Molecule: long non-coding RNA, 599 nt
Filed under: Selaginella moellendorffii
Lineage: Eukaryota; Viridiplantae; Streptophyta; Lycopodiopsida; Selaginellales; Selaginellaceae
Description: long non-coding RNA (SMOE_LNC001464)
Source: RNAcentral